CACAAUGUCUCGACUGUCAUGGCGGCCCGCUGCCUGUCAACUCUCGCCCAGCAUCAUCACCUCCUUCUUUGUUACAAUAGAGAGCCAUCUAGUCGAAUCACUCCAUUAUUUCAAGGUGUCAAACACGAGGCCCGGAGUUCCAGAUCCGGCCCACAACAUUGUUUCUGUGGCUUGCAGAAUUGUGUGCAUCAACUUCUUGUUUCUUGCUACAAUACCAAAAUUGCAAAUUGUAAUCAAUUUUUGAAAACAAGACAUUGAAAGCAUUUUGUGUUUCUAAUCCUAUUGUAAAAUAAAAAAAAUUGAAAAACGU
This is a long non-coding RNA of Hippocampus zosterae (dwarf seahorse), 310 nucleotides long. RefSeq lists it as uncharacterized. NCBI's taxonomy places the organism in Eukaryota, Metazoa, Chordata, Actinopteri, Syngnathiformes, Syngnathidae. The record is from RefSeq and is a predicted model, not a curated record. The transcript is spliced from 2 exons.